Molecule: ribosomal RNA, 428 nt
Filed under: uncultured bacterium
Lineage: Bacteria
Description: bacterial SSU rRNA
Rfam family: Bacterial small subunit ribosomal RNA
Source: RNAcentral
AACGCGAAGAACCUUACCUGAUUGACAUCUCCUGAAUUACUCUUAAUGGAGGAAGCCUUUCGGGGCAAGAAGACAGGUGGUGCAUGGUUGUCGUCAGCUCGUGUCGUGAGAUGUUGGGUUAAGUCCCGCAACGAGCGCAACCCCUAUUGUUAGUUGCUACCAUUUAGUUGAGCACUCUAACGAGACUGCCCGGGUUAACCGGGAGGAAGGUGGGGAUGACGUCAAAUCAUCAUGCCCCUUAUGUCUAGGGCUACACACGUGCUACAAUGGCUGGUACAGAGAGAUGCAAUACCGUGAGGUGGAGCCAAACUUCAAAACCAAUCUCAGUUCGGAUUGUAGGCUGAAACUCCCCUACAUGAAGCUGGAGUUGCUAGUAAUCGCGAAUCAGAAUGUCGCGGUGAAUACGUUCCCGGGUCUUGUACACACCG